AGCCUUCAGAGGCCAUUUUGUCCAAUCCAUAAGUUUAGUUCAAGCUCUUUCAGAUAUUUUCUCCUGGAUUUAAUUUCUUCUCUAUUGGACCAAGUUCUAUAUUGGCAAAUUCUUUUUAAUAUUAGAACCCAUUUAACAUUCGAAUAUUCAAGUGCUCCCAUUGGAUAUUUGUGUUAUAUCUAUUGCAUAAAUAAAGCAGUGAAGAAGAAUCUGUUCAUCUAUCUCUGUCCCUUAAUUAUUGCUUGUGGACUUAUUUCACCAGCCUACAGAACUACUUACCUGUGUGGGAACUCCCUCCAUCAAGGGACAGCAGAACCUGUUUAUGAUGUAGUAGGGGCUGCUGAAGAAAUGGUGUGCUAGCUUAAAAAAACAAAACUGAUGAUCUUUAUACUGGAUAGACAUUUAUUAUCAUGUGUGAGGCCAUAUUAAAUGAUACUCUGGCAGCCUGAGAAAGAGUUAAUGAGCUCUGUUCAUAACCAAAUAUUAGAUUACUCAGCUGUAGAAGAACAUGGGAAUUGAAUGAAUAAUAAUAAUUCCUGAAGGAUUGUUAUUGUUAUGUUGAUAAUAACAACUAGAUGUCUUGCACAUCUAAAAGGGGGCAGGCAUGUCUUAGACCUCAACUCAAGAGAGACUUGGAGUAAAAUGUGGGUUUUGAUACUUGUUUCCUGAAUGUCCCUUGGAGAAGUCACAUUGACCUCAGUUUCUUCAGUUGUACAAUAGAAAUUAUAACAUUAAGGCUUAUACUACCUACCUCACAGAGUUGCUAUGACAGAUACACUUCAUAAAUCUUAACGCUCCUUUGUUGUCAUUGUUGUUGUAUAAUUGUUUAAGUUAUGUUUGACUCUUUUUUAUAACCUCUGAGGUUUUCUUGGCAAAGAGACUGGAGUGAUUUUCCAUUUCCUUCUCCAACUCAUUUUACAUCUGAGGAAACUGAGGUAAAUGGGGUUAGGUGACUUGCUCAGGGUCAUUCAGCUAAUACAUGUCUGAGGCCAGAUUUGAACUCAGAAAGAGGUGUCUUCCUUACUAUGGGUCCAGCACUCUAUCCACUGUGCUAUGUUUGCUAGUAGUUUCAUCUUUAUAUACAAAGAUAUUUCUUAGAAAAUAAUAAUAGGUAACAUUUAGAUAGCAUUUACUAUGUGCCAGGCACUGGACUAAACACUGUA
RNAcentral lists this long non-coding RNA (1163 nucleotides) under Monodelphis domestica (gray short-tailed opossum). RNAcentral describes it as "lncRNA (ENSMODG00000036378.1)". The record is from RNAcentral. Lineage: Eukaryota; Metazoa; Chordata; Mammalia; Didelphimorphia; Didelphidae.